RNAcentral lists this long non-coding RNA (1003 nucleotides) under Monodelphis domestica (gray short-tailed opossum). RNAcentral describes it as "lncRNA (ENSMODG00000049427.1)". Lineage: Eukaryota; Metazoa; Chordata; Mammalia; Didelphimorphia; Didelphidae. The record is from RNAcentral.
CUUAGUAGAAACACCAAGAUGAGUAGGACCUUCCCCGUCCUCACGGAGCCUCCAGGAAAGGACACAGACGCAUUCCAUGCAUUGAACUGCACACGGUGAGCAUUUCUGGACUCAGACAUUUGUCUCUGCCUUCAGGUAGCCUGCGGUCUAACAGCGGCCUCCAGCGCAAAGACAGACGGACGAUGGACCCUAGAACCGAAGGGCGCUGGGGAGACUCUGGGGUGGAGAAGGCAGAAUCAAGGAAGGCUUCUUAGAGGAGGUGGCCUUGGAAGGAAUCUUUAAGGAAUGGGCAGGAGAUGUUAGGGAAGGAGACUUCUUUUCCUCUCUCUCUCUAUCUCUGUCUGUCUCUCUUUUCCUCUCUCAAUCUCUCUGUCUGUCUGUCUUUUUCUCUCUGUCUCCAUCUGUCUGUCUCUGUCUCUCUUUUCCUCUCUCUAUCUCUGUCUCUCUUUUUCUCUCUCUCUCCCUCUAUCACUGUCUCUCUCUCCUUCCCUCUCUGUCUCUCUUCCCUCUGUCUCUCUCUCCCUCUCCCCUCUCUCUCCCUCUCCCCUCUCUUUGUCUCUCUCCCUCUCUGUCUCUAUCUCUCUCUGCCUCUUUAUCUCUGUCUCUCUCUCCUUCCCUCUGUCUCUCUUCCCUCUGUCUCUCUCUCCCCUCCCCUCUCUCUCCCUCUCCCUCUCUUUAUCUCUCUCCCUCUGUCUCUAUCUCUCUGUCUCUUUCUCUGUCUCUCUUCCCUUCCUUCUCUGUCUCUCUCCUCUCUGUCUCUCUCUCCUCCCUUUCUCUCCCCCCUGUCUCUCUGUCUCUGUCUUUAUCUCUCUCUCUCUGUCUCUCUCCCUCUCUCUAUCUCUGUCUCUUUGUCACACUGUCUGUCUCUGUUCCCAUUUCUCUCUGUGUGUGUGUGUGUGUGUGUGUGUGUGUGUGUCUGUCUGCCUGUCUGUCUGUCUGUUUCUCUCAUUCUCUCUCUAGCUGGGAAAUUCAUGAGACCUGGUGUCACAGCCCACACAAUUAC